Molecule: non-coding RNA, 523 nt
Organism: Salvelinus namaycush (lake trout)
Lineage: Eukaryota; Metazoa; Chordata; Actinopteri; Salmoniformes; Salmonidae
Source: the annotation of a RefSeq genome assembly
AUGUCGGAGGACGCCAGGUUCAGCAUGAGACACAGGGUAAAGUUGGGGUGUCGGGACGAGCUGCGCAGUAUGACCACCAGCACAGCUAAAGUUGAAGUCAGAAGUGACGUUCGUCCCACGCUGACGGUCCUGUCCCCCUUCAGUGUGGAGCUGCAGCCCUUGUUGGCCAGGCACAUGAGAGUGGCCUUCCCCUCAGACUGGAAGCUGAGCUGGAAGGUGGACGGUAGCAGCAGUAACACCUGGGAGGUGACCGGGAGCCCCGGGGUCCUGGAGAAGGACGGCCACUACAGCUGGAGCAGCACCCUGACCCUCCCUGUCGACCAGUGGAAGAAGGUGGGCUCUGUGACCUGUGAGGCCACCCAGGGCUCCCAGUCCCCUCUCUCUGAGACACUGAGGAGAGACCAGUGUUCUGAUUAAUGAGCUCCCCCCUCUGACUCCACUGUUUUUACUCUGCACCUCUCCUUCUUACUGUUCCAGCAAUACCAGCACACUGGUCUAAUGCUGGGCUGGAUCCUGUGUGGGA